ACGAACGCUGGCGGCAUGCCUAAUACAUGCAAGUCGAACGAGAUCUUCGGAUCUAGUGGCGCACGGGUGCGUAACGCGUGGGAAUCUACCCUUGGGUUCGGAAUAACAGUGGGAAACUACUGCUAAUACCGGAUGAUGACGUAAGUCCAAAGAUUUAUCGCCCAGGGAUGAGCCCGCGUAGGAUUAGCUAGUUGGUGAGGUAAAGGCUCACCAAGGCUACGAUCCUUAGCUG
This 232-nucleotide ribosomal RNA is filed under the name Sphingobium sp. ISOM304_OTU6068. RNAcentral's name for it is "partial 16S ribosomal RNA". It matches the Rfam family "Bacterial small subunit ribosomal RNA", at positions 29 to 289 of the family's 1533-position model. The record is from RNAcentral. Lineage: Bacteria; Pseudomonadati; Pseudomonadota; Alphaproteobacteria; Sphingomonadales; Sphingobiaceae. RNAcentral also lists the same sequence under 1 other name.